CCCUUAGAUGUCCUGGGCCGCGCGCGCGUUACACUGAUGCAUUCAACGAGCUUAUAACCUUGGCCGAGAGGCCUGGGCAAUCUUGUUAACGUGCAUCGUGAUGGGGAUAGAUUAUUGAAAUUAUUAAUCUUGAACGAGGAAUUCCUAGUAAACGCAGAUCAUCAAUCUGCAUUGAUUACGUCCCUGCCCUUUGUACACACCGCCCGUCGCACCUACCGAUUGGAUGGUCCGGUGAAGCCUCGGGAUUGUGGUUCUUGCCGCUUUAUUGUGGCGUGACCGCGAGAACUUGUCUAAACCUUAUCAUCUAGAGGAAGGUGAAGUCGUAACA
RNAcentral lists this ribosomal RNA (328 nucleotides) under uncultured eukaryote. RNAcentral's name for it is "partial 18S ribosomal RNA". It matches the Rfam family "Eukaryotic small subunit ribosomal RNA", at positions 1470 to 1796 of the family's 1831-position model. The record is from RNAcentral.